Molecule: transfer RNA, 64 nt
Filed under: Trichoferus campestris
Lineage: Eukaryota; Metazoa; Arthropoda; Insecta; Coleoptera; Cerambycidae
Description: tRNA-Asp
Source: RNAcentral
AAAAACUUAGUUAAAAAAUAACAUAGACUUGUCAAGCCUAAAUUAUCUAGUUGGAUAGUUUUUA